This 136-nucleotide ribosomal RNA is filed under the name Prevotella sp. P2-180. RNAcentral's name for it is "partial 23S ribosomal RNA". It matches the Rfam family "Bacterial large subunit ribosomal RNA", at positions 1 to 136 of the family's 2925-position model. The record is from RNAcentral. Lineage: Bacteria; Pseudomonadati; Bacteroidota; Bacteroidia; Bacteroidales; Prevotellaceae.
AAGAAAGUAAAUAAGGGCGCAUGGCGGAUGCCUUGGCUCAUGGAGGCGAUGAAGGACGUGAUAAGCUGCGAUAAGCCGCGGUUAGGAGCAAAUAUCCCUUGACCCGCGGAUUUCCGAAUGGGACAACCCGUCAGCA